RNAcentral lists this ribosomal RNA (354 nucleotides) under Triticum aestivum (bread wheat). RNAcentral describes it as "partial small subunit ribosomal RNA". The record is from RNAcentral. Lineage: Eukaryota; Viridiplantae; Streptophyta; Magnoliopsida; Poales; Poaceae.
AUGACUCGUGAGGAUCUUCCUGUAUUCAUGUUUGAGAACCUGAGAAGUUUGUUGCUAGAUGAGUGUCAUAUCAGCGACGACUUCCUCGGGCUGCAGCAAUACCUGCACAACUCGUGUAACCUGAAGAAACUCACUUUGCGCUGUUGCAAGGUCUUGGAUUCUAGGCAUAACAAGGAGAUGAGAGAACGCCUGCACAAAUCUUCUGAGGACGUGGUGGAUUUCAACUGUGAGAACCUUAGGCUUAGUGAAAUCAUAUACAGAGAUGGUGAUACUUCUCUCCACCUACUGGUCAAGUUUUUUAUGGGCAUGCGGACAAAUCUGCCAAACAACAAGAUCGAAUUCACUAAAGUUUGA